CUGCGCCCGCGCUGGCGCGCGCUGCCCCAAGCGCUAAGCUCGGCUGGCUGGCUGGAGGCGCCGCGCCGCCUAACCCGGAGCGCCUCUCUGCGUCCCACCGACUCCAGAUUCUGCCCGCACUGCCUCGGGGCAGCCAAGCCGCUCGGCCCACAAUUGUGGUCUUUUGCUAAAAGUAAACGAAAGUGGCGUCGGUUUCGGAGCGCCAAAUCGAAGGGAGUGCGGCCGACGAGCGGGUAACCCGCAGCUGGGUCCUGCGCUCCUCGCUGGCCUCCGGGGCGGCCGUUGAAAACUAGCUCCUUCCUACCCGUUUGAUCAGAACGGCAGCGGGUGCGGGCAGGAACCAGGCUGGGGUCGCAGAGGCGGCAGGACCCGGGCCGCUGAGAAGCUCACCGCGAAGUUGAAGGCAGCGUCUGCAGGCGCAGGAAGAGCCGAGGCAGCGGGCGGGCGGGCGAGCGCUCUGUGGCGGACAGUGGACGCUGCUGAAGAAGUGGCCAGCUACCUGGAGGAGCCACUGUUCAUGCUCAGGGAUGCAUGUCUGGAUGUUGCAAGGUUGCUUGUGGCCAAGUGCACAAAGAAGACUUCUCCCCUGGACUCAACACACACAGCUCAGUGUCAUCCUAAAAACCAGAGGCCUGCAUCCGGAACCAGAACCCCUCAUGUGACAACGGGUGGCCCAAACUACCUCCUGCUGAAGCUGUAAGUAGGUAGGGGUGUAGGGGUCAGGGUGGAGUUCCUCUGGGGAGGGGGAGCAGGGGACACACUCGGGACCUAUGCUACUCACUACAUUGUUUUAUUUAGUAUCUGAACUUUAAUAAAAGUUCUUAACUUCUCUGUGGGAUGGGCACAGAGGCAUGGAAAAGGAUGGCCCAUGUAGCCCAUCCUGGAAGCGGCCUGUGACACCAGCUGUCAGGCGUGAACACAGCCCUGCUUGGCCCCACCUCCCUGUGCUCCCUAGGACCCAGAGCCCCUCUCCCCCUGACCCCAGUACCUGACUGAACCGGCGUGGCCAACCACUGGACUUGCUCGAAGUUGCCUG
This 1036-nucleotide long non-coding RNA is filed under the name Cavia porcellus (domestic guinea pig). Its description in RNAcentral is "lncRNA (ENSCPOG00000037089.1)". The record is from RNAcentral. Lineage: Eukaryota; Metazoa; Chordata; Mammalia; Rodentia; Caviidae.